GCAGUGGUGGUUCAGUGGUAGAAUUCUUGCCUUCCAUGCAGGAGACCGGGGUUCAAUUCCUGGCCAAUACG
RNAcentral lists this transfer RNA (71 nucleotides) under Loxodonta africana (African savanna elephant). It matches the Rfam family "tRNA". Rfam says of the family: Transfer RNA (tRNA) molecules are approximately 80 nucleotides in length. Their secondary structure includes four short double-helical elements and three loops (D, anti-codon, and T loops). The record is from Rfam by way of RNAcentral. Lineage: Eukaryota; Metazoa; Chordata; Mammalia; Proboscidea; Elephantidae.